CCUGAUCCACACCCCCGAACCGAAGGGACAUGCACUUCUCGACUGUCUGUAUCUGGCCAGUGUGGAAAAAGCCGACUGAAGGGUAACAUAUUUUUCGGAUGAAUGCAGGCCCAAGGAGCAAUUCUGAUGUGAGCCUGCUGUACUGCAAGGAGGAAUAGCUCUCAUUGAUCCAUUGCCUGCUUCCCUACUGGGCUGAAGGAACCUCCAGGGGCAACAGGAUAAGGACCAGUGAUUUCCUAUCCUGUGUAGACAUAUAAUGUAAUAGAUGCUGACAUUUUAUUGACCAUCAACACAGAGAAAGAAGACAUAUUGAGCCUCUUCUGAGAAUACAACUCCUUAAAGUCCCAGUGGUCUAAUCUGAGCUGAUAUUGGAUCUAUGAGUCUGUCUUGAGUUGUUUCAGCCUCAAUGUACAUGUGGAUAUGACCAUCCUUAUAUUUAGACAAUUUUUUGGCUGCGAGUGAAGAAGGGGUUAUAUCUGUCAUGAUCUAAUAAUCACUACCUCCAACUUGAAGUCAGGCCUUACCUUAAUUCCUGCAAGGAGCUAGAUUUAUUCCACUGAUUCAUCCAGCAAGAUUGCUGAACCAAAUAUGGUGUCAGAAGAUUUACAGAUAGAAUAGUCCAGUGAUUAUACAAUCCUGUCAGUGAUCUGGUAGAAUUGUGUGAUGAGGCCACAAUGAUGGAAAUAAGGCCUCAAAGUCCUCUCCCUGUACAUCAUCCUCACACAGUUUGGCCUUCUUACCAAGAUGACCCAUAACAUGUGAAACAGAUGGAGACAUUUAUAGCAAAGAUGGAAAAUUUUGUGUUCAGAAGCCUGCCUGUCUGAGGCAACUAGAACCCACUGAAAUAUCAAGUGUCUAUAAUUCUAUGUUGUUGCUGUUAUGGAAGCUGAAAGAACUUUUGCAUGAUAUAAUGGUGAAAGCAUUUCCUGGCUGACAAUGACCUAUAGCAUUUAAUGGGAAUGAAGUCAAUAGGUUCUAUGGAAACUUUACACAUAAUUGUAACAAAAUAAUUAGACAACAAAAAUCAGUAGAAAAUUACACACUUGAUUAAGCCAUCCUAUAGAAUUCCAAAGCAGAAAUAUAACUCUCUAUUUAAAUGCAUAGGGCUUUUUGUUGGAACCAUCCUCUAGGAAGGGUAUCACUUUAUAUUAAUUUCAGCAGGACUUUUCUAUAAAGGCAGGUGGCAGAUAUCAUAAUCUAGAAAUGGAUGUAAGAUCUCAAUGUGAAGAUGUUUCCAUAUAUGGGACUGUCACAUCUGAAGACAUAUCUAUCUAUGAUUGGGUUAGAAGUGGCACCAUUUCAUUUAGCAUUGCAAGCAAUUUUGCUUAAUCAAGUUCUAAAUAUACUGAAGAAGCUUAAUGUUAAUACCUGGAGUUAGGCCCAGGGCUUUAAUGAUUGAUAGUGAAAUAAAACAGGGAAUUACUAGA
Long non-coding RNA from Caretta caretta (loggerhead turtle), 1427 nucleotides. RefSeq lists it as uncharacterized. The record is from RefSeq and is a predicted model, not a curated record. Lineage: Eukaryota; Metazoa; Chordata; Testudines; Cheloniidae.